UACCACUCACUUACCACUACCUCAAAAAUCUCUCUCACAUUAACGGUCACAAAAAAAAGAAAUUAAACAGCUCACCUCACACUCCACUGAAUACUCACUCUCACUAUCAUCUCUCUCUCUCACACUCACAUAAGACACGUCCCCCUCCAUUCACUCUUCCCCUCACUCAUUCACUCACGAAAAGAAAAACAAAAAAGAAAAGAGAAAGCGAAAAGGGAGAGAAACCUUUCUUCUCCGUUUUACCCUUUUCGUUCACCC
RNAcentral lists this long non-coding RNA (258 nucleotides) under Lathyrus oleraceus (garden pea). RNAcentral's name for it is "Pisum sativum (pea) long non-coding RNA (PSAT_LNC021060)". Lineage: Eukaryota; Viridiplantae; Streptophyta; Magnoliopsida; Fabales; Fabaceae. The record is from RNAcentral.